Molecule: signal recognition particle RNA, 98 nt
Filed under: Peptostreptococcaceae bacterium
Lineage: Bacteria; Bacillati; Bacillota; Clostridia; Peptostreptococcales; Peptostreptococcaceae
Description: signal recognition particle sRNA small type
Rfam family: Bacterial small signal recognition particle RNA
About the family: The signal recognition particle (SRP) is a universally conserved ribonucleoprotein involved in the co-translational targeting of proteins to membranes. Archaeal SRP consists of a 7S RNA and homologues of the eukaryotic SRP19 and SRP54 proteins.
Source: RNAcentral
CCAUCAGGCCUUAGCAACAGGAAUCAGUGAACCGUGUCAGGAUCGGAAGAUAGCAGCACUAAGCUGAGCCCCCUGUGUGCUAGGAUCCCUGGUGGGUU